RNAcentral lists this ribosomal RNA (427 nucleotides) under uncultured Conexibacter sp. RNAcentral's name for it is "partial 16S ribosomal RNA". It matches the Rfam family "Bacterial small subunit ribosomal RNA", at positions 355 to 774 of the family's 1533-position model. Lineage: Bacteria; Bacillati; Actinomycetota; Thermoleophilia; Solirubrobacterales; Conexibacteraceae. The record is from RNAcentral.
UGGGGAAUCUUGCGCAAUGCGCGAAAGCGUGACGCAGCAACGCCGCGUGCGGGAAGACGGCCUUCGGGUUGUAAACCGCUUUCAGUUGGGACGAAGCUUCGCCGGUGAAUAGCCGGCCGGAGUGACGGUACCUUCACAAGAAGCCCCGGCUAACUACGUGCCAGCAGCCGCGGUAAUACGUAGGGGGCAAGCGUUGUCCGGAAUCAUUGGGCGUAAAGCGCGUGUAGGCGGCUUCGUCAGUCCGUUGUGAAAGUCCAGGGCUCAACCCUGGAAUGCCGAUGGAUACUGCGGAGCUCGAGUCCGGAAGAGGCAAGUGGAAUUCCUGGUGUAGCGGUGAAAUGCGCAGAUAUCAGGAGGAACACCAAUGGCGAAGGCAGCUUGCUGGGACGGUACUGACGCUGAGACGCGAAAGCGUGGGGAGCAAACA